Molecule: signal recognition particle RNA, 99 nt
Filed under: Desulfuromonas sp.
Lineage: Bacteria; Pseudomonadati; Thermodesulfobacteriota; Desulfuromonadia; Desulfuromonadales; Desulfuromonadaceae
Description: signal recognition particle sRNA small type
Rfam family: Bacterial small signal recognition particle RNA
About the family: The signal recognition particle (SRP) is a universally conserved ribonucleoprotein involved in the co-translational targeting of proteins to membranes. Archaeal SRP consists of a 7S RNA and homologues of the eukaryotic SRP19 and SRP54 proteins.
Source: RNAcentral
AGCCGGGUCCCGCGCAACGGGCGGCUGUGAACUCCGUCAGGCCCGGAAGGGAGCAGCGGUAGCGGCUUUCCCCGUGUGCCGCGGGGGUGCCUGGCUGUC